GUGGGGAAUAUUGGACAAUGGGCGAAAGCCUGAUCCAGCCAUGCCGCGUGUGUGAAGAAGGUCUUCGGAUUGUAAAGCACUUUAAGUUGGGAGGAAGGGCAGUAAGUUAAUACCUUGCUGUUUUGACGUUACCGACAGAAUAAGCACCGGCUAACUUCGUGCCAGCAGCCGCGGUAAUACGAAGGGUGCAAGCGUUAAUCGGAAUUACUGGGCGUAAAGCGCGCGUAGGUGGUUUUGUAAGUUGGAGGGGAAAUCCCCGGGCUCAACCUGGGAACUGCCUCCAAAACUGCAUGACUAGAGUACGGUAGAGGGUAGUGGAAUUUCCUGUGUAGCGGUGAAAUGCGUAGAUAUAGGAAGGAACACCAGUGGCGAAGGCGACUACCUGGACUGAUACUGACACUGAGGUGCGAAAGCGUGGGGAGCAAACAGGAUUAGAUACCCGAGUAGUCC
RNAcentral lists this ribosomal RNA (450 nucleotides) under uncultured bacterium. RNAcentral describes it as "partial 16S ribosomal RNA". It matches the Rfam family "Bacterial small subunit ribosomal RNA", at positions 354 to 796 of the family's 1533-position model. The record is from RNAcentral.